Molecule: long non-coding RNA, 243 nt
Filed under: Vicia faba (fava bean)
Lineage: Eukaryota; Viridiplantae; Streptophyta; Magnoliopsida; Fabales; Fabaceae
Source: RNAcentral
AUGUUCAAAAUUUAUUUCUCUUUGUCUCUUCUAUCUCUUGCUUUCAAUUCUCUUCAAAGCUUAAAUCUGUCAUCCCCCAUUUCUCCUUCGUCUUCAUUUCUCCUACCUCUGCUACUCUCAAAAGAUCUGAUUAUUGCUAGAGAAUUUUAUGGUGGUCCGAGUUGUAUCGUUGAUGGCGGAGGUUUGCUGCGAAAGUUGCUGGUUCACAGCAGCAAUCUCAUGCUGAGAGGCUUAAAAGGAUGA